This is a long non-coding RNA of Cephus cinctus (wheat stem sawfly), 1876 nucleotides long. RefSeq lists it as uncharacterized. The transcript is spliced from 2 exons. The record is from RefSeq and is a predicted model, not a curated record. NCBI's taxonomy places the organism in Eukaryota, Metazoa, Arthropoda, Insecta, Hymenoptera, Cephidae.
ACCCUACCUCUUCUUCCCAAAGACACUCAGUGUCCGUGAUGUCUGUCCUCACAGGGUAUUCGCUCCUCGGGGAGUCCAGGAGAUCGCAUACGCCCAUCGGAUAUCACGCGCCACACACCGUGCACACCGAUCAUAACGAAUCAUCGAUGAAGUAUUCACGUUAUUUGCACACACUUCCCCGAGAGUAACUCUCAUAACUGCGUAGCACUGGUGGCGACUGGUCAGUCACUGUAUAUAUUCAGUAUAGGGCAGUGGAGAACGUGUAAACGUGUUAACCUACCAAGUAUAGAAAGGGAGGGAGGUGCAAGAGGGAUGGUAGGAGUAACCAAGACAAGACAGACGCUGUAGGAAGAACCCCGAGGCUGCAGGAAUGGAAUAACGUGGAAGCAGCGGCAAACGGCGGCCGUGCUGGACGGAAAUCGACAGAAGCGAGCACGAGCCACAACACAACACGGAUAACUGUAUCCACACGGCUUUCACUCCCACCUGGUGAUUUCGUUCGCUGGCAGAAGUGCUAGUACCGUCAUUUGACUCGUGCUGUUCGCGAUUUACUUAUCCGCAACUGACAAUCAGCCGAGAACCUAAGCCAACCGGAGGUUUCGUUUAUGAACAGAAAUUGACUUACGACUCUGGCUUCAGCGAUCGCGGACGAUUACGUACUAGCUCGAAUACCGGUACUACGGAGUACAUUCGAAGGUUGCAUUCUCGCCUGCCUCUCGGAGUCCUCCACCUCCUUCUACUCACCUGGGGUAUUUACCUGGCGAAGGCGAACUCGCACGAACGUAUACGGACUUUACCGAGGAAACGGCGCUCUCGUAUUUGAACCACGCCGAUGUAGCGAUCGCUCCAGAUCGACUACGCUUCGAACUGUUAUUUGUUGUAUUUUUACAAAUUUCAAUGAACCUUUGGUAUUAAUUACUCUCUCCUAAAGUCUUUCUCUAUACCAGAUAUUGUUCGGUGUAUAAGUCAUACGUUUUGUCGAUAUUUUUCUGUUAGAGAUCUAAAUUUUUAAAGACCCAUUAGCGCAUUUUGAUCGCGCUUGAUUUCUUUAUUCUUCGUUUCUUCAGCAUUUCUACCAGCCACUUUUAAGGAACAGAAUGAUCCUCACCCAUUUUGUUUCCGCUUCUUCUUCGCACUCGCAGGCAUAUUGUUCGUGACUUGAUGCACUGGACAGAAAAAUAUAUUAAAGAUUAACAAAGUCACGUGACUAUGAUUACAAUCGAUUUUUAUCAUAUAACUAAUUGGAUAUAAUUUUAAUUGCUUUUAGAAUAAAAUAUUUUUGUUUCUUCACGCCAAUUCAAUGUUCAAUAUCAUUGAUGCUAUAUCUAUGCUUUUUUUUUUACAUAGUACGUAAUGUAAGCACGUGAUCAUUUUCUCUAACAGCGUUAACGUUUACAUUCGAAAUGACACGUCGAUCGUUGGUUGAUGCUAGACAUAUGAAUGAGACUAAUUCGUGUUAAAAUCACGUCCGGUGCUCGAGAACUUUCACAUUUUACGUAAAUCCGAGAGUCAGGAAAAAAAUUAACGUUUCAGAUAUUAAGAUAUUAUCAGCGAUUUGAAUACGGUGCGUAUACACAUAAACAUAUACUUUCCUCUAUCAUUCAUUUUUCUAUAGUCAAGUAAUUUUUCUGAUAGCAGUGCAAUGACCUGAUGAAUGUGCUGAAUAACUUCGGAGUGGGUCGCGUUCUCCAGGGUGCGACCGUUGACCUCCAGAAUCUCGUCGCCCACCUCCAAGCUGUCCGCAUUAUCCGCAGGGGAGCCUGCAUGAUCGAAGACACGAUCAAUUACUUGUCGAUAUUACAUUAAUGCGCACAUAUCAUUGUAUCGUAUUUACUGUCGGUUAAAAAUGUCAAAAGAUUAAACAAUUUUCAAAUCA